Microcebus murinus (gray mouse lemur) is the source of this 2489-nucleotide non-coding RNA. The record is from RefSeq and is a predicted model, not a curated record. NCBI's taxonomy places the organism in Eukaryota, Metazoa, Chordata, Mammalia, Primates, Cheirogaleidae.
CGUAGGGAAUUGGUUUAAGGACCACUGAGAAGAACAUUCCAUUUUCCUCUUCAAAAUACAGAGCAUUCCUCUCCAUUUCUGUUUCUCUACCUCCAUAUUUUUUUUUUUUAUUAUGGCUACUGUUAUGUUUGAUACCAAGAGGAAUGCAAAACUUUGGUUCUAAGUAUAAACUCUAAGUUAUAAGUAUCAGAAACUUGUGGAGAUGGUGAGGACAGGGGACAAGAGUUGGGAGCUACAGCAACACUUCUCCAUUUAGACAAGGAGCUGGACCUGGGGAUGGAUCCAAUGGAUCCAAAAGAACUGGCUUUUUCUGCUCUGCGAGUGUCUACACCAGUGCAGCUGUACAGCUGGCUGGGGUGUCAUUUCCUGGGGGUCAUGGGCAGUGUCUGAGACGGGGGAAAAUAGCCACCUCUUCAUGCUGCCCGGAAUGAGUUUUGUUGGGAUUGUUUCGGGGGAAAGCCAUAAUAGCAUUUUUGAGAGUGGAGUGGUGGCUUCCUUUAUUGUUACCUGAUACUUGUUAGUUGACAUUUUUUCUAGGAUGCUUUUUCCACAAAACUUAUUGUUCAGAGAGAGACACAAUGGAAAUCAAUUGCUAAUUAAAUUUGUGUCUAAAUUAAUAAAUCACAACUAUUCAGAUCAUAUCUGUCUGAAUAAUUUCCAUUACGGUGAACAUAAUUGUUAGAUUCAGCAUUUAAUGAACCAUAUUGUUAGGUAAACUUCUUAUGACAAUUGGGACUAAUAGAAUAUAUUAACCUUUAUUCUUCCGAGCUUGACAUUACAUUGGACCAUGUUAACAUCAAAACACCUGGAUGAGUUUCAUCAUUAAGUAGCCAUUGUGACUCUCUUGGCCUUCUGAUGGAGCCCAUGAGGCUUUGGGAAGUUAGUAAUGUUUGAUGUUUGUCAAUGGGUGUCCUUAUCUAUAAUUGGGGUUUUUUUUUUUUUUUGGCAUUUUGUUCUGUGUGCAUGUCUUUAUGAAAUGGAAACUGUACCACGCUCAAGAGCUGGAAAUCACCAUCAAAUGUCAACAGCCUGUUUGGAGCACCAAUGUAUUACAGGGCAUUGUAGAUUUUGGGCUCCAAGUGCAGGUUUGAAGAUGAUGUUUUCCCAGCUGCCUUUUCAAAGCCAUCAGAAACAGCACAUGGAAGGUGGUAAAAUGAGGUGCAAUCUAUCAAGCAGGCUGAAGAGGACCUUUCUGGGACACAUGUCUUGGUUUAGGUUUCCUCAGAAGCAGAUCCUGAAGAAAGGAUUCAACUGCAAAUAGCUUUUCAGGGGAGACGAUUCCAGCAAACUCUGGUAGCAAAUGGGGAAGCGAGAUGGAAAAGGUAAGCAAGCCUAUUAAGGAAAUAUUUUCAAGCCAGGCACUGCUUUGGGUGGCUAGAGCUCAAUCCUGCUGGGGAACUCUGGGAAACCAUAUAGAACAUGCCAUGGUGUUCUCCCAGCCAAGGAGUAAGGAAGCUGUGGUAUUUACCUACCAACUCUCCAUCCAUCAUUGACAGAGGGAUGCUUUGCAGGGACAGUAACUCUCUUGCACUUUUGCUUGCCCUGUGUAUGCUGAAUGGUCUCUCCCACCCCCAUCUGCCACCUUCAGUCCUUCUUGCUAUGGGGGUACAUGCUGAAAGAAUAUGGGUGGGACACCAACGGUGUCUGCUAUACUCAGCUAGACUGCAAGCUUCACAAAAGCAAGACCUGAAUGCCCAUCACUUUCCCUCCAUUGCAUCAUCAUUAUCUAGCGUAUCACCUGACACAUACUGUGGCUCAAUAAGUACUUGUUGAAAGAAUGCAGGUGGCUGCUGAUGGCACAUGGGGAACUCACAGUGCAGUGGUGGGGACAGAGCUGCACACCACUCACUGCAAGCCAACAGGAUAAGUGCUGUGCUGUAGACAUUCAUGGGGUGCUAUCAAAGUCUAGGGCAGCAGGUGCCAACUCUGCCCGGAGGUGGAGAAGAGCCUAAAGAAGUUUCCACACAAGAGGAGAUGUUUGAGCUUAAGGCUUGAAGAAAGAUGAGUAGGAUUCUGUGAUAGGAUUUUAUUGGUCAUGUCAUGUAGGAAGCAGUGCAGGAAGAAAAAAAUGUGUGGCAGAGGCAUUAGCCAUUUAUAAAAAGAGAGCGCAGGUGCUCUGGAUGUUCUUGUUCUCACCUGUGUGCCUACCGUAAUCUAGAUGUUUUGCGUGGUCUGAGAUCUUGGUGCUGUCUCUGGCAUUCUCUCUUGUCCACGAAGUCAUCAUCGGCUUGAUAGUCUAAACACGUGUUCGUUCACUUUCCCAUGUCCUCCCCUCUCAGCAGACAUGCGCACAACACAGCGGUUUCAAGUCCUUUUGGCAAAGAUAAUCUUUUCUUGACCUUUGAAAAGGCAGGUACGGUACAUACAUAUACACACAUACCAAAUAUUUUCUUUAUGUAUUUACUGUUUGUAGGAAGUCUAACCCUAAUCCAGCGUUUAUUAAAACAAGACAGGAUUUAUUAAAUUGGUUCUAGUUUAUCAAAUAUGUA